CCUAUACUGCANGUCGAGCGAACUGAUUAGAAGUUUGCUUCUAUGACGUUAGCGGCGGACGGGUGAGUAACACGUGGGCAACCUGCCUGUAAGACUGGGAUAACUCCGGGAAACCGGAGCUAAUACCGGAUAACAUUUUCUCUUGCAUAAGAGAAAAUUGAAAGAUGGUUUCGGCUAUCACUUACAGAUGGGCCCGCGGUGCAUUAGCUAGUUGGUGAGGUAACGGCUCACCAAGGCAACGAUGCAUAGCCGACCUGAGAGGGUGAUCGGCCACACUGGGACUGAGACACGGCCCAGACUCCUACGGGAGGCAGCAGUAGGGAAUCUUCCGCAAUGGACGAAAGUCUGACGGAGCAACGCCGCGUGAGUGAUGAAGGCUUUCGGGUCGUAAAACUCUGUUGUUAGGGAAGAACAAGUACAAGAGUAACUGCUUGUACCUUGACGGUACCUAACCAGAAAGCCACGGCUAACUACGUGCCAGCAGCCGCGGUAAUACGUAGGUGGCAAGCGUUAUCCGGAAUUAUUGGGCGUAAAGCGCGCGCAGGCGGUUUCUUAAGUCUGAUGUGAAAGCCCACGGCUCAACCGUGGAGGGUCAUUGGAAACUGGGGAACUUGAGUGCAGAAGAGAAAAGCGGAAUUCCACGUGUAGCGGUGAAAUGCGUAGAGAUGUGGAGGAACACCAGUGGCGAAGGCGGCUUUUUGGUCUGUAACUGACGCUGAGGCGCGAAAGCGUGGGGAGCAAACAGGAUUAGAUACCCUGGUAGUCCACGCCGUAAACGAUGAGUGCUAAGUGUUAGAGGGUUUCCGCCCUUUAGUGCUGCAGCUAACGCAUUAAGCACUCCGCCUGGGGAGUACGGUCGCAAGACUGAAACUCAAAGGAAUUGACGGGGGGCCCGCACAAGCGGUGGAGCAUGUGGGUUAAUUCGAAGCAACGCGAAGAACCUUACCAGGUCUUGACAUCCUCUGACAACUCUAGAGAUAGAGCGUUCCCCUUCCGGGGACAGAAUGACAAGUGGGUGCAUGGUUGUCGUCACCUCCUGUCGUGAGAUGUUGGGUUAAGUCCCGCAACGAGCGCAACCCUUGAUCUUAGUUGCCACCAUUUAAUUUGGGCACCNUAAGG
Molecule: ribosomal RNA, 1119 nt
Filed under: Bacillus sp. (in: firmicutes)
Lineage: Bacteria; Bacillati; Bacillota; Bacilli; Caryophanales; Bacillaceae
Description: bacterial SSU rRNA
Rfam family: Bacterial small subunit ribosomal RNA
Source: RNAcentral